This 1377-nucleotide long non-coding RNA is filed under the name Homo sapiens (human). RNAcentral describes it as "HSALNT0396335". The stretch from base 442 to 516 matches the Rfam family "Urothelial cancer associated 1 conserved region". Lineage: Eukaryota; Metazoa; Chordata; Mammalia; Primates; Hominidae. The record is from RNAcentral.
ACUCCUUCGUGAGACCGGCCCCCUGUCCUGGCCCUCAUUCCGUGAAGAGAUCCACCUGCGACCUCGGGUCCUCAGACCAGCCCAAGGAACAUCUCACCAAUUUCAAAUCGGAUCUCCUCGGCUUAGUGGCUGAAGACUGAUGCUGCCCGAUCGCCUCAGAAGCCCCUUGGACCAUCACAGAUGCCGAGCUUCGGGUAACUCUUACGGUGGAGGAUUCCCAGCCAUAUGAAGACACCCUAGCUGGACGAUCAGUCCUUGUCAAAAGUCUGACCCCUCAAACUCUACAGCCUCAAUGGACCAGACCCUACCCGGUCAUUUAUAGCACACCAACUGCCGUCCAUCUGCAGGACCCUCUCCAUUGGGUUCACCAUUCCAGAAUAAAGCCAUGCCCAUCAGACAGCCAGCUUGAUCUCUCCUCUUCCUCCUGGAAGCCACAAGAUUAGGCCGAGAGCCGAUCAGACAAACAACCUACAACCCUUAAGCUCCUGGCAGCGCCCAGCCAAGGCCAUGCUUCCUUGCAACACUCCUUCCAAAUGGCCAUCCCAGCAUGCUUCCAAGCAGGCUUCAUCCGUUCCUCUGGACCCUCAUCUCUUAAGACCUGCCGCCUAUAAAAAGGAUUAUAUCUUGAGACCCUAUCCUCUAAAAUUUUUUCCACACCCAAAACAAAAAAUCUCUGGGUCAAAAGUCUAAAACGCUUAGGCUGGCAACCAUCAGAUCCUUGCCCAUGGUGUCCUCAAGCCUACUCUCAUGAAAUGGACAACAGUACACGCAUAUGGGGCCAGUUCCACAUAUUUGGCAACCAGACCAGCAUCCAGGACAACACAAAGAUCUGCAAUCAGAACUAUUGAACUUCUCCAUUCAGACCGCCACUCACACCUAUGGGAAAAGGGUAAUGUAUCAUCGGCUUAGCAACAGGGAAUACUAUUCGUAUGAUGGAAAAUGGGGACAAAAGGCUUUGGUACAUAAAACAUUAUUCCUUCCUUGGCCUAAAAACUCAUCGCCACCUACAUUAAAGCUAAUAUGCCUGAUUACUGUUUUUAGAGAACUUAUUUUAUUAGGGCAGUUCCAAGCUCAAAAAUACGCUAACUGGCACCUUGUUAGCUACAUAAAAAUGCACCCUAGACCCGAAACUUACUAGACUCAUUAUAAAAUUUUCUUUAAGGUGUCCACGCAGUCCCUGGUCACACUUGAAGCAGUCCGGAGAAAUAUCAGCCCUACCCCAGUAAUCCCCAGAAGGAACUUACACUUUUUUUUAAUCUUUUCCUACAACUUCAUAUUUUAUAAAUAAAAAGACAAAAAUGUCAGGCCUGUGAGCUGAAGCUUAGCCAUUGUAACCCCUGUGACCUGCACAUAUCCGUCCAGGUGGCCUGCAGGAGC